Molecule: transfer RNA, 72 nt
Filed under: Camelus bactrianus (Bactrian camel)
Lineage: Eukaryota; Metazoa; Chordata; Mammalia; Artiodactyla; Camelidae
Also listed under: 2 other names
Rfam family: tRNA
About the family: Transfer RNA (tRNA) molecules are approximately 80 nucleotides in length. Their secondary structure includes four short double-helical elements and three loops (D, anti-codon, and T loops).
Source: Rfam by way of RNAcentral
GAGGGUAUAGCUCAGUGGUAGAGCACAUGUUUAGCAUGCUUGAGGUCCUGGGCUCAAUUCCCAGUACCUCCA